Non-coding RNA from Cucurbita pepo subsp. pepo (vegetable marrow), 797 nucleotides. Lineage: Eukaryota; Viridiplantae; Streptophyta; Magnoliopsida; Cucurbitales; Cucurbitaceae. The record is from RefSeq and is a predicted model, not a curated record.
GGAGAUUUGAGCAAUAAGAAAAGCGGGUGCAAGGGGAGUAGAUUUAGAUCUUGUGCACAGUAUCCAAUCUCCUUCAACCCAAAUUUACCGGGAUGUCCGUUAAAUUUGACUUGUGGAAGAAUAUUAUUUAGUUAACCACCCGCGUGCCGCCGCCUGAGUGGCGGAGUACCGGAGAAUUAUCUCAUCUUUUUUUCUUUUUUCUUUUUUUUUAAAAAAAAUUUAUAUGUGCGUACAUUUUGGACUAGAGUGAAGGAAGAGAGUCAGUGACCGGGCGCCGCCGGUUGGACAGAAUAGGUUGCCGACUUCUGGAAAGGGCAAAGAAGAGAGGAAAGGAAAGUGGAGAGGGAAGAAGUGGGUCCCACAACCGCCUUUUCCCGAGUAAAUGUAUUUAUUUUUAUUUAUUUUUUUUGUUGGUUUAAGAUCAAAUCUAAGUGAGAGUCAGAGGAGAGAACAGAGAGAGAGAGAGAGAGAGAGUCACGCGGGAUACACAAAGUGUGAUUUGCAAUAAUUUAAGAUCGGAAAGACGAAAGACGAAGACGAAGAAGAAGAAGAAGAAGAAGAAGAAGAAGAAGACGAGGAGGAGGAAGACGAAGAAUAUAAGCAGACAAAAUCCAUUGGUUGCAGAAAUACCAGAGUUUUUUUUUUUUUCUUUUUUUUCUUUUUUUUUUAUUCUGCAAGAACAGAUAGACAAUACAACACACUCAGUUCGUUGAGUUUUUUUUCAAAUAUUCCAAUCAACGCUCUGUUUCUUCUGUUAUCCAUUAUUAAGUAAUUCCCCCUCUUCUCAUUCUUUCUUA